CCCAUUUUUCUACUGAGCUGUUUUUUGAAAAAUUAAUUGAUAAGAGCUCUUUACGUAAGAAGGAAAUUAGUUUAUUCCUGGAGAUAAGUAACUAUAUGAAAUAGAUCUAAGAAAGUUUCAGUUAGUUCUCUUGGGUUUUCUCUAUAUAAAACCACACUACCAGCAGGUAAAAUUAUGUUAAAUUGCUUCCAAGGCUCUCCUGCCCAAAAUGCCAACCUGAAACUAAUCUUACAGAAACAUCACAGAAACCCAAAUUAGGACACCAGAAAAUGACUGCCUUGGGCCUUUAAAAAACGCCAACGUCAUAAAAGGCAAAGACAUACUGAGAAAUGUUCCAGAUUAAAAGAGCUAGAAGACCUGACAAAUACAAUGUGUGAGCCAGGAUAUUCUUUUGUUAUAAAGGACAUUAUGAGAACAGUUGGCAAAGUCUGAUUAAAGUCUGUAGAUUAGAUAAUGGUGUUUUAUCAAUGUCCACUUCCUGAUGUUCAUCAUUGUACUGUGAUUAUGUGGGAGAAUGUCCUUGUUUUUAGGAAAUGCAUACUCAACUGUUAUGGGUAAUGAGACAUCGUUUCUGUGUGUUUUUCAGAAGAGGUUCAGAGAGAGGAAGAAGAAUAAAGCAAAGGUGGUAACUAAUCUUUGUGGAAUCUGGAUAAAGAAUAUCCAGGAAUUCUUUGUACUAAUCCUCCAGUUUUUCUGUAAGUCUGAAGAUCAUGCGUUCUUUCCCAGAAAGAACAGAGCGCUUCUGCACCACCCUGGGCACCAAGGACCCAAACCCUCUAGCACCUCCCGGGCUCCCCCCCCCCACCGGGGCACCAAGGAACCAGGAUCCCUUGCACAACCUCUGAGCACCACACUAGCAAGCUUUCUUCUACCCCAGGCCGCCCCCUUCUUACCCGCAGGGACCUCAGGCCAGCAGAGCAACGAAGGCCAGGAGCAGGUGCACAGAGACCACCAAGGGGCUGAGCGCUUUCAAGGAGCUGGCAGA
This is a long non-coding RNA of Felis catus (domestic cat), 985 nucleotides long. RefSeq lists it as uncharacterized. The transcript is spliced from 3 exons. NCBI's taxonomy places the organism in Eukaryota, Metazoa, Chordata, Mammalia, Carnivora, Felidae. The record is from RefSeq and is a predicted model, not a curated record.